RNAcentral lists this ribosomal RNA (492 nucleotides) under uncultured bacterium. Its description in RNAcentral is "partial 16S ribosomal RNA". It matches the Rfam family "Bacterial small subunit ribosomal RNA", at positions 29 to 507 of the family's 1533-position model. The record is from RNAcentral.
AGUGAACGCUGGCGGUAGGCCUAACACAUGCAAGUCGAACGGCCGCAUAGUAAGAGCUUGCUCUUACGGGUGGCGAGUGGCGGACGGGUGCGGAAUACAUCGGAAUCUACUUUUUCGCGGGGGCUAAUGUAGGGAAACUUAUGCUAAUGCCGCAUACGACCUACGGGUGAAAGCAGGCGAUCUUCGGACUUUGCGCGAUUGAAUGAGCCGAUGUCGGUUGAGCUCGUUGGCGGGGUAAAGGCACACCAAGGCGACGAUCCGUAGCUGAUCUGAGAGGAUGAACAGGCACACUGGAUGUGAGACACAGUCCAGACUCCUGCAGGGAGCAGCGGUGCGGAAUAUUGCGGGAGGGAGGAGAGCCUAAUCCAGCCAAACCGCGUAGAGGAAGAAGGCCUUCUGGUUGUAGAACCCUUAUGUUGGGAGAGAAGAACAACAGUUUAAUACCCCACGGUACUGACGGUACCCAAAGAAUAAGCACCGGCUAACUUCGUG